CUUGCAAACUAAAGAUGGCGACCGGCGCACGGGUGAGUAACACGUAUCCAACCUGCCGGUAACUCGGGGAUAGCCUUUCGAAAGAAAGAUUAAUAUCCGAUAGUAUAUUAAAACCGCAUGGUUUUACUAUUAAAGAAUUUCGGUUAUCGAUGGGGAUGCGUUCCAUUAGUUUGUUGGCGGGGUAACGGCCCACCAAGACUACGAUGGAUAGGGGUUCUGAGAGGAAGGUCCCCCACAUUGGAACUGAGACACGGUCCAA
Molecule: ribosomal RNA, 259 nt
Filed under: uncultured bacterium
Lineage: Bacteria
Description: partial 16S ribosomal RNA
Rfam family: Bacterial small subunit ribosomal RNA
Source: RNAcentral